This 344-nucleotide ribosomal RNA is filed under the name uncultured bacterium. RNAcentral describes it as "bacterial SSU rRNA". It matches the Rfam family "Bacterial small subunit ribosomal RNA", at positions 1 to 334 of the family's 1533-position model. The record is from RNAcentral.
GACGUGACUUCAGAGUUUGAUCCUGGCUCAGAUUGAACGCUGGCGGCAGGCUUAACACAUGCAAGUCGAACGGUAACAGGAAGAAGCUUGCUUCUUUUGCUGACGAGUGGCGGACGGGUGAGUAAUGCUUGGGAAUCUGGCUUAUGGAGGGGGAGUAACUACUGGAAACGGUAGCUAAUACCGCGUAAUGUCUUAGGACUAAAGGGUGGGACUUUCGGGCCACCCUGCCAUAAGAUGAGCCCAAGUGGGAUUAGCUAGUUGGUGAGGUAAAGGCUCACCAAGGCGACGAUCUCUAGCUGGUCUGAGAGGAUGACCAGCCACACUGGAACUGAGACACGGUCCAG